This is a long non-coding RNA of Drosophila innubila, 229 nucleotides long. RefSeq lists it as uncharacterized. Lineage: Eukaryota; Metazoa; Arthropoda; Insecta; Diptera; Drosophilidae. The transcript is spliced from 2 exons. The record is from RefSeq and is a predicted model, not a curated record.
UGAGCAAAAAGGGGUCCAAAGAGGCGCACUAAAACAACAAUGGUUAGCUCCUCCACUGGCAACUCCAGAGAUGCCAAGUUUUGUAGGGCCACUGCAAGCGUGGCCAAGUUGGUAUUCUCGCAGCGGACAAAGAGGCCAUCGUCGCUGCCCUUUACACAUAAGCAGGGGUAUAAGACUUGAGGUCUGUGCACACAAUUAAAAAAAUUAAAUAAUGCAUGAUUAUUAUAUA